Molecule: ribosomal RNA, 1000 nt
Filed under: Salmonella enterica subsp. enterica serovar Ajiobo
Lineage: Bacteria; Pseudomonadati; Pseudomonadota; Gammaproteobacteria; Enterobacterales; Enterobacteriaceae
Description: partial 23S ribosomal RNA
Rfam family: Bacterial large subunit ribosomal RNA
Source: RNAcentral
AAUCCAUAGGUUAAUGAGGCGAACCGGGGGAACUGAAACAUCUAAGUACCCCGAGGAAAAGAAAUCAACCGAGAUUCCCCCAGUAGCGGCGAGCGAACGGGGAGGAGCCCAGAGCCUGAAUCAGCAUGUGUGUUAGUGGAAGCGUCUGGAAAGGCGCGCGAUACAGGGUGACAGCCCCGUACACAAAAGCGCAUGUGCUGUGAGCUCGAUGAGUAGGGCGGGACACGUGGUAUCCUGUCUGAAUAUGGGGGGACCAUCCUCCAAGGCUAAAUACUCCUGACUGACCGAUAGUGAACCAGUACCGUGAGGGAAAGGCGAAAAGAACCCCGGCGAGGGGAGUGAAAAAGAACCUGAAACCGUGUACGUACAAGCAGUGGGAGCACCCUUUGGGGUGUGACUGCGUACCUUUUGUAUAAUGGGUCAGCGACUUAUAUUCUGUAGCAAGGUUAACCGCAUAGGGGAGCCGGAGGGAAACCGAGUCUUAAUUGGGCGUUAAGUUGCAGGGUAUAGACCCGAAACCCGGUGAUCUAGCCAUGGGCAGGUUGAAGGUUGGGUAACACUAACUGGAGGACCGAACCGACUAAUGUUGAAAAAUUAGCGGAUGACCUGUGGCUGGGGGUGAAAGGCCAAUCAAACCGGGAGAUAGCUGGUUCUCCCCGAAAGCUAUUUAGGUAGCGCCUCGUGAAUUCAUCUCCGGGGGUAGAGCACUGUUUCGGCUAGGGGGCCAUCCCGGCUUACCAACCCGAUGCAAACUGCGAAUACCGGAGAAUGUUAUCACGGGAGACACACGGCGGGUGCUAACGUCCGUCGUGAAGAGGGAAACAACCCAGACCGCCAGCUAAGGUCCCAAAGUCAUGGUUAAGUGGGAAACGAUGUGGGAAGGCCCAGACAGCCAGGAUGUUGGCUUAGAAGCAGCCAUCAUUUAAAGAAAGCGUAAUAGCUCACUGGUCGAGUCGGCCUGCGCGGAAGAUGUAACGGGGCUAAACCAUGCACCGAAGCU